RNAcentral lists this long non-coding RNA (233 nucleotides) under Helianthus annuus (common sunflower). Its description in RNAcentral is "sRNA HanXRQr2_Chr07g0308111". The record is from RNAcentral. Lineage: Eukaryota; Viridiplantae; Streptophyta; Magnoliopsida; Asterales; Asteraceae.
UCUCGCAUUACCUGGUUAUUAUACAAGAACUCAAAGCAAUCUCAGCAUAUGGACACAUUGAUUUACAUGAACAUUUCUGAGCUAUUCCAUAGGACGAUGAUCAUGAUUCUAGGGCGGACCUGUGCCUUAGAGCCUAAAAAUGAAGUUUAAACUAGCUUAAUUAUGUUUUGAUUUCCGUACUCUAUUUCCAAGACAAUGUAACACCUUGUUUAUAAAUAAAAUACAACUUGUAU